UUAUAUUACCCUGUAUGGCAUGCCCCCAGACCCCCUAGCUGAAUUUGGUCCCCCACCCACAAAACCAAGGCUGUAAUAAAUGAAAACAGCCUUCCCUAUAUAAUGGCAGAUAAUUUCAUUUAGUCUUUUUCUAGGAACACUUCUGAUCAGAAGUUCUUAUGUGUCAUAAGCUCAAACUGACCCACUUCAUGUUUUUGUUCAGCAGACUACAUGGACUUGUGUAGUUACGCAUCGCAGACUUAACAACCUUUGGCCACCCUGCUAUUUUCUCUGGCCACCAUAUGGCCACCCCUAAAAAAAAUCUCUGUGGGCAUCCCUGGCAGUAUGUGUGCAACAAUCCC
Long non-coding RNA from Melanotaenia boesemani (Boeseman's rainbowfish), 341 nucleotides. RefSeq lists it as uncharacterized. The record is from RefSeq and is a predicted model, not a curated record. The transcript is spliced from 3 exons. Lineage: Eukaryota; Metazoa; Chordata; Actinopteri; Atheriniformes; Melanotaeniidae.